Molecule: ribosomal RNA, 450 nt
Filed under: uncultured bacterium
Lineage: Bacteria
Description: partial 16S ribosomal RNA
Rfam family: Bacterial small subunit ribosomal RNA
Source: RNAcentral
GUGGGGAAUUUUGGACAAUGGGCGCAAGCCUGAUCCAGCAAUGCCGCGUGUGUGAAGAAGGCCUUCGGGUUGUAAAGCACUUUUGGCAGGAAAGAAAUAGCGCGUGCUAAUACCAUGCGCGAAUGACGGUACCUGCAGAAUAAGCACCGGCUAACUACGUGCCAGCAGCCGCGGUAAGACGUAGGGUGCAAGCGUUAAUCGGAAUUACUGGGCGUAAAGCGCACGUAGGCUGUAGUGUAAGUCAGGGGUGAAAUCCCACGGCUCAACCGUGGAACUGCCUUUGAUACUGCACAACUUGAAUCCGGGAGAGGGGGAUGGAAUUCCGCGUGUAGCAGUGAAAUGCGUAGAUAUGCGGUGGAACACCGAUGGCGAAGGCAAUCCCCUGGGCCUGCACUGACGCUCAUGCACAAAAGCGUGGGGAGCAAACAGGAUUAGAUACCCGAGUAGUCC